This 383-nucleotide unclassified non-coding RNA is filed under the name Hevea brasiliensis (rubber tree). Lineage: Eukaryota; Viridiplantae; Streptophyta; Magnoliopsida; Malpighiales; Euphorbiaceae. The record is from RNAcentral.
UUUAAAUAACAAAAUCGAAAACAGUGCGAGGGAAUCAGUUGAGUCCGUCUGAAAUAGCUGAUAUUUAAAACCAUGACCUCAAUACCAUAAUUUUCUUUAAGUUAGUAGUUUCACAGUGGAAAGAGGUGAGACUGCUUUGUACUUGUAGUCCACGACCCACAUAACUGCAUAAGAGUUAGCCUUCAAGUUGGACGAUAAGGUUGCUCAAAAAUAAAAUGUAGACCACAGAUGUGAUGCAUCAUGCAGGGCCCCUUAAUAGGAUACUCUAAAAUAAAACAUCAAGACUAAGCUCAGAUAGGUUAUAUCUCCCAUCAUAACAGCAAAUAACCACAGUAUUUAAAGCCAGUUGGAGUGAUGGACACACAGGUAGAUUUGAUAAUAAG